RNAcentral lists this ribosomal RNA (495 nucleotides) under uncultured bacterium. RNAcentral's name for it is "partial 16S ribosomal RNA". It matches the Rfam family "Bacterial small subunit ribosomal RNA", at positions 28 to 507 of the family's 1533-position model. The record is from RNAcentral.
GACGAACGCUGGCGGCGUGCCUAAUACAUGCCAGUAGAACGCUGAAGGAGGAGCUUGCUCUUCUGGAUGAGUUGCGAACGGGUGAGUAACGCGUAGGUAACCUGCCUGGUAGCGGGGGAUAACUAUUGGAAACGAUAGCUAAUACCGCAUAAGAGUAGAUGUUGCAUGACAUUUACUUAAAAGGUGCAAUUGCAUCACUACCAGAUGGACCUGCGUUGUAUUAGCUAGUUGGUGGGGUAACGGCUUACCAAGGCGACGAUACAUAGCCGACCUGAGAGGGUGAUCGGCCACACUGGGACUGAGACACGGCCCAGACUCCUACGGGAGGCAGCAGUAGGGAAUCUUCGGCAAUGGACGGAAGUCUGACCGAGCAACGCCGCGUGAGUGAAGAAGGUUGUCGGAUCGUAAAGCUCUGUUGUAAGAGAAGAACGAGUGUGAGAGUGGAAAGUUCACACUGUGACGGUAUCUUACCAGAAAGGGACGGCUAACUACGUG